RNAcentral lists this ribosomal RNA (506 nucleotides) under uncultured bacterium. RNAcentral's name for it is "partial 16S ribosomal RNA". It matches the Rfam family "Bacterial small subunit ribosomal RNA", at positions 28 to 523 of the family's 1533-position model. The record is from RNAcentral.
GAUGAACGCUAACUACAGGCUUAACACAUGCAAGUCGAGGGGUAACGAGAGGAAAGCUUGCUUUCCUUGUCGACGACCGGCGCACGGGUGAGUAACGCGUAUCCAACCUGCCCCCAACUAAGGAAUAACCUUGCGAAAGUAAGACUAAUACCUUAUAAUUUCCUCAGAUGUCAUCUGACGAGGAAUAAAGAUUUAUCGGUUGUGGAUGGGGAUGCGUCUGAUUAGCUUGUUGGCGGGGUAACGGCCCACCAAGGCAACGAUCAGUAGGGGUUCUGAGAGGAAGGUCCCCCGCAUUGGAACUGAGACACGGUCCAAACUCCUACGGGAGGCAGCAGUGAGGAAUAUUGGUCAAUGGGCGGAAGCCUGAACCAGCCAAGUAGCGUGCAGGAUGACGGCCCUAUGGGUUGUAAACUGCUUUUAUACAGGAAUAAAGUUAGCCACGUGUGGUUAUUUGUAGGUACUGUAUGAAUAAGGACCGGCUAAUUCCGUGCCAGCCGCCGCCGUAA